GAUGAACGCUGGCGGCGUGCCUAAUACAUGCAAGUCGAGCGAACGGACGAGAAGCUUGCUUCUCUGAUGUUAGCGGCGGACGGGUGAGUAACACGUGGAUAACCUACCUAUAAGACUGGGAUAACUUCGGGAAACCGUAGCUAAUACCGGAUAAUAUUUUGAACCGCAUGGUUCAAAAGUGAAAGACGGUCUUGCUGUCACUUAUAGAUUGAUCCGCGCUGCAUUAGCUAGUUGGUAAGGUAACGGCCUACCAAGGCAACGAUGCAUAGCCGACCUGAGAGGGUGAUCGGCCACACUGGAACUGAGACACGGUCCAGACUCCUACGGGAGGCAGCAGUAGGGAAUCUUCCGCAAUGGGCGAAAGCCUGACGGAGCAACGCCGCGUGAGUGAUGAAGGUCUUCGGAUCGUAAAACUCUGUUAUUAGGGAAGAACAUAUGUGUAAGUAACUGUGCACAUCUUGACGGUACCUAAUCAGAAAGCCACGGCUAACUACGUG
This 497-nucleotide ribosomal RNA is filed under the name uncultured bacterium. RNAcentral describes it as "partial 16S ribosomal RNA". It matches the Rfam family "Bacterial small subunit ribosomal RNA", at positions 28 to 507 of the family's 1533-position model. The record is from RNAcentral.